CCUGGCGGCGAUAGUGCGGUGGACCCACCUGAGACCAUACCGAACUCAGAAGUGAAACGCUGUAAUGCCGAUGGUAGUGUGGGG
This 84-nucleotide ribosomal RNA is filed under the name Haemophilus influenzae. Lineage: Bacteria; Pseudomonadati; Pseudomonadota; Gammaproteobacteria; Pasteurellales; Pasteurellaceae. The record is from RNAcentral.